CAGGUAGGACUACCCGCUGAACUUAAGCAUAUCAAUAAGCGGAGGAAAAGAAACUAACAAGGAUUCCCCUAGUAACGGCGAGUGAAGCGGGAAGAGCUCAAAUUUGAAAUCUGGUGGACUCAGUCCAUCCGAGUUGUAAUCUAUAGAAACGUUUUCCGCGCCGGCCCAUGUACAAGUCCCUUGGAACAGGGCGUCAUAGAGGGUGAGAAUCCCGUCCUUGACAUGGACCACCGGUGCUAUGUGAUACGUUCUCAACGAGUCGAGUUGUUUGGGAAUGCAGCUCAAAAUGGGUGGUAAAUUCCAUCUAAAGCUAAAUAUUGGCGAGAGACCGAUAGCGAACAAGUACCGUGAGGGAAAGAUGAAAAGCACUUUGGAAAGAGAGUUAAACAGUAUGUGAAAUUGUUGAAAGGGAAACGAUUGAAGUCAGUCAUGUCCUUGGGAUUCAGCCUGUUCUGCAGGUGUACUUCCCUUGGAUGGGGUCAACAUCAGUUUUGACCGCUGGAUAAAGGCUGGAGGA
Molecule: ribosomal RNA, 517 nt
Filed under: Piskurozyma fildesensis
Lineage: Eukaryota; Fungi; Basidiomycota; Tremellomycetes; Filobasidiales; Piskurozymaceae
Description: partial large subunit ribosomal RNA
Rfam family: Eukaryotic large subunit ribosomal RNA
Source: RNAcentral